Molecule: long non-coding RNA, 564 nt
Filed under: Homo sapiens (human)
Lineage: Eukaryota; Metazoa; Chordata; Mammalia; Primates; Hominidae
Description: non-protein coding lnc-NAA25-2:2
Source: RNAcentral
GAGUGCUGUCUAGAAGGUUUUGGAGUGUGGAUGCUGGUCCAAGAAAGAAGAUGUGCCCUGGCCUGCUGGAAAGAUUGUGAAUUCUAGAGAUAGAGCCGUUAGCAUCCAUCUCCUCCCUGUAACUCUUAGGAAAUGCAUCAAGGACCAUUAUAGAAAGGAUCCCCUGACCUAAGGAUGAAAUCGACCUAGGGUUAAUCAUGACAGCUGCAUCAGUUGUAUUGGAUGCAAGUCAACUCUGGAGUCCUCAUCCCUUGAAUGGACUUGUCAGCUACCUCCCCAGGAGGAGUUCAGAAGCUUCUGUUGGCCAUCACUUGAGUAGAUGACAAGCUGUAAGGUAUCUGCUGCUAACGUGGCUGCUUCUCCGAGAGCACAUUGAGGUCCAGACAGAUCCAAACCUUGGCCCUAAAAAAUGUGUGCUGUAAAGUUACUUGAUGUAUAUUUAUUAUAAUUAUUUAUGGUUGCAUUUAACAAACUUUUCAUUCAAUCUGAUGCUAUUUACACCAUGCUGUGUAAAGGAAGCUCACUAAAGGAAAAAAGUCACACCAAUAAAUAACCUUCAUCUAA